RNAcentral lists this ribosomal RNA (507 nucleotides) under uncultured bacterium. Its description in RNAcentral is "partial 16S ribosomal RNA". The stretch from base 20 to 332 matches the Rfam family "Bacterial small subunit ribosomal RNA", at positions 47 to 358 of the family's 1533-position model. The record is from RNAcentral.
GACGAACGCUGGCGGCGUGCUUAACACAUGCAAGUCGAACGGAAAGGCCCUGCUUUUGUGGGGUGCUCGAGUGGCGAACGGGUGAGUAACACGUGAGUAACCUGCCCUUGACUUUGGGAUAACUUCAGGAAACUGGGGCUAAUACCGGAUAGGAGCUCCUGCUGCAUGGUGGGGGUUGGAAAGUUUCGGCGGUUGGGGAUGGACUCGCGGCUUAUCAGCUUGUUGGUGGGGUAGUGGCUUACCAAGGCUUUGACGGGUAGCCGGCCUGAGAGGGUGACCGGGCGUGAGUGGGCAGGGUGCGGGCCAAGAUGCAGAGGGGGGGAGGGAGGGGGAGACAUUGGAGGGGGGGUGGAGGUCUGGGGCAGGACGGCGUGGUGGGGUGUCGGGGUCGUCGGGUUGUAAACCCGCGUCGCCGGGGAAGAAGGGAGAGGGAGGGUAAUGGGAAAAGAAGCCACGUCUAGCGACGUGCCCGACGGCGGGGUAAUGGUGGAGAGACCUUGUCUGACC